Molecule: ribosomal RNA, 777 nt
Filed under: uncultured Neocallimastigales
Lineage: Eukaryota; Fungi; Neocallimastigomycota; Neocallimastigomycetes; Neocallimastigales
Description: partial large subunit ribosomal RNA
Rfam family: Eukaryotic large subunit ribosomal RNA
Source: RNAcentral
UAUCAGUCAUGCAUAGCAUAUCAAUAAGCGGAGGAAAAGAAACUAACAAGGAUUCCCUUAGUAACGGCGAGUGAAGCGGGAAGAGCUCAAAUUUGAAAUCUUCAAGGUUUUACCUUGACGAAUUGUAGUUUAAAGAAGUGUUUUCUGUUGAAGUUUUGGUAAAAGUUCUUUGGAAUAGGACAUCAUAGAGGGUGAGAAUCCCGUAUUUGACCAUUACUUUCAGCUUUGUGAUACACUUUCAAAGAGUCGGAUUGUUUGGGAAUGCAGUCCAAAAUGGGUGGUAAAUUUCAUCUAAAGCUAAAUAUUGGCGAGAGACCGAUAGCGAACAAGUACCGUGAGGGAAAGAUGAAAAGAACUUUGAAAAGAGAGUUAAACAGUACGUGAAAUUGUCAAAAGGGAAGCGUUUGACACCAGUGUUGUUUUCUCGAAAAUCAAUUAAAAAGAGUUGGAUUUUGUGUUGUAUUGACCUUUAUCAGGCUUUCUUCACUCUUUUCCAGGCUUUUUUUAAUGCACUUUUCGCUUAACAAGUCAACAUCAGUUUCUUUUGUUGUAAAAAGGUCAUUGGAAGGUGGCUUUCUCUUCGGAGAAAGUGUUUAUAGCCUUUGACUCAUGCAAUCGGAGAGACUGAGGUCUGCAGCGUAGAUCCUUCGGGGUUAGAUACAUUUGUGCUAAGUUAUAGCUUUUCAUAGACAACUUCGUUGACUAUGUUUAGUCUUGUAGCUUACUCGCUUAUGCUAAUUUACCUACGCUUAGGAUGUUGAACUCUAUCACACACAG